Molecule: small nucleolar RNA, 121 nt
Filed under: Echinops telfairi (small Madagascar hedgehog)
Lineage: Eukaryota; Metazoa; Chordata; Mammalia; Afrosoricida; Tenrecidae
Description: Small nucleolar RNA SNORA61 (ENSETEG00000024989.1)
Source: RNAcentral
AACUUCCAGAUUCCUUACCCCUCUAAGCUAAACAUGGGACCGAGUGGCUGAAAAAGGACGAUAAGUAAAACUGAAGUGCAUUUGGAGUCUUUCUUGACAUAUAAGUUCAUUUCAAGCAUCU